This is a long non-coding RNA of Phragmites australis (common reed), 340 nucleotides long. RefSeq lists it as uncharacterized. The transcript is spliced from 3 exons. NCBI's taxonomy places the organism in Eukaryota, Viridiplantae, Streptophyta, Magnoliopsida, Poales, Poaceae. The record is from RefSeq and is a predicted model, not a curated record.
UCUUCUUCUUCGGGGAGCAAAAUCAAUCUCAGCUGACACCACAGGAAUUGGUACCCAAGGUUUUUCAUGAGGGGGUUUAACUGAACCCGAUGCCCCAUGUUAAGACCACCCCUGCCAGCUGCUGCUCACCUCGCGGGUGAUUCCUCUGUGAUCGAGCAGAACAUCUUGUCUUGGGUUCAAUAGAGCAUAUGCUGAGAAGAGGUUGGUAGCAGAAAAUGCAAGCUUGCAAAACAUGUAAAAAGGUUGGAUUUAAAGGAGUGGUCUAUGACAUCUAGAGCUCUUGGCAAGGUUUGAGAAAAGGCAGCCUAUCACAAGGAAAUAUUGAAGUAGCUGCUGUAAG